GUGGUCAGCCCCGGGCUGCUUGGUCACAUGUGGUUCUGAGGUCCUGACUCGCCAGUUCUGAAAGACUGGCCCGGGGACCCGCCCAUAGACAGGCGGUGUGGAUGUCAGACCUCUCCCGCAGGCCCACCGCGCUGGGGUCCCCACAACGUGACAAGGACGCGCCGCUGGAAGGAGCACAGGGGGCUCCGGAUUAAAUGCCGGGCCUUUAUUGAGUUAACAGUACACUUACUGUAAAAUUCACUUAUUUAAAGUGCGAGGUUCAGUGGUUGUCAGUAUAUUCAGAGUUGUGCAACCGUCCCCUCUAUCGAAUUUCCAUUUACAUCACCCCAGAUGGAAACCCUGUACCCAUCUAGCAGUCAUUCUCCGUCCCAGUCCCUCCAGCCCUAGGUCCACGCUAUUCAGGUUUCCUCAGUUUUAACCUCAUGCCCUCCUGCUGCUCCAGGACCGUCCAAGACCCCACGUGGGACAUUUAGUCAUCACAUUCUCCUCUGGCUGCUCUUGGCCGGGACGGUCUCUCAGACUUUCCUGAUCUGGAGGCUGGAAGUUCGAGAUUAAGGUGCCUGCAGCUUGGUUUCUCCUGAGGCCUCUCUCCUUGGCACUUAGACGGCCAUCUCCUUCCCAAGUCCUCACACGGCCCUUCCUCUAUGCGUUUACUCAGUCCUGAUGUCUCUCUCUCUUCUUAGUGUUUUCAUCUGACUGUUCUUCCAAUGAACCAGCUUUGGGUUUUGUUCAUCUCCGCUCUGCCCUCUCUCUCCCUCCUCCAUUGAUCU
This is a long non-coding RNA of Physeter macrocephalus (sperm whale), 770 nucleotides long. RefSeq lists it as uncharacterized. NCBI's taxonomy places the organism in Eukaryota, Metazoa, Chordata, Mammalia, Artiodactyla, Physeteridae. The transcript is spliced from 4 exons. The record is from RefSeq and is a predicted model, not a curated record.